UUUUAUAUAGUUUAAUUAAAACAUUAUAUUUUCAAUAUAAAAUUAAUAAAAUUUUUAUUUAUAAAUA
Molecule: transfer RNA, 67 nt
Filed under: Nomada flavoguttata
Lineage: Eukaryota; Metazoa; Arthropoda; Insecta; Hymenoptera; Apidae
Description: tRNA-Glu
Source: RNAcentral